CUGGAUGGUGCUGCGCCCGGCGGCGGUGGCGGUGCUGCAGGCACCGGAACGGUUGACCUUAUGGGCAGAUGUGUUCCGACGUUUUUUCGUCUGGG
RNAcentral lists this transfer RNA (95 nucleotides) under Stutzerimonas stutzeri. RNAcentral's name for it is "Pseudomonas stutzeri tRNA-Cys(gca)". Lineage: Bacteria; Pseudomonadati; Pseudomonadota; Gammaproteobacteria; Pseudomonadales; Pseudomonadaceae. The record is from RNAcentral.